CACAACCCAGGUGACAUCACAGCACCCACUCCUCCUGCUGGUGCAGCACUUGGGUGCUCCUUCCCAAGGCAAAAGGGUCACUGAGGGAAAGCUCAGGGGUUUCCAAAAGACUCUCCAAGCUUGGAGCAUGAUCUGCUCUGCUGUGUAGCUACAGGAGAAGUUCAGGGAGCUGCUUUGGGCCUUUUUGAGUUUUAAAGCUGAGCUGGUGAGCAGGAAACAUCAAACCAAGCUAUGGAGAGCAGUGCCACGAGGAAGGAGGUGCUGUGGAAUUGUACUCUGAGUCCCACCAUUUGUCCCCCAAAACUGGCUCACUCCUUGAGCUCUGGACCCACAGGAUCCCAUUUCCACAUGGGAUAAACUGUGCAUUCCUGUAUCCUUUGUCUGCAGCUUUGAGUCUGCACUCUGAGAACCCCGUGAAUAAACCCAAAAUUGAUUUUU
Passer domesticus (house sparrow) is the source of this 438-nucleotide long non-coding RNA. RefSeq lists it as uncharacterized. The record is from RefSeq and is a predicted model, not a curated record. Lineage: Eukaryota; Metazoa; Chordata; Aves; Passeriformes; Passeridae. The transcript is spliced from 2 exons.